This is a long non-coding RNA of Tachysurus fulvidraco (yellow catfish), 405 nucleotides long. RefSeq lists it as uncharacterized. The record is from RefSeq and is a predicted model, not a curated record. NCBI's taxonomy places the organism in Eukaryota, Metazoa, Chordata, Actinopteri, Siluriformes, Bagridae. The transcript is spliced from 2 exons.
UUUCACUUUUCCUGUCUGAGCGUUGUUUUGUUUUGUUUUGUUUUAAUAAACCUCAACAGACUCGCAGGCAUUGACUAAGUUCGCUUAUCUGUUGUCCAGUAGUAAUAACACCUCUAUCGUCGACUACGAAUAACCCGUGUGUUGAUGUGAAACAGUAUAACGCAGGUCUACGACGGUGUUAGACGUCCACGGAUGGCUACAAAAUAAAUUGCAGCCAUUUUCCAGCCAGCUUGUUUAACAUCAAUAAUCAUUGUGUCGCUUUCACUUUGUGUGUUAGAAUGAUGCAAAUACAUCCCUUUUCAAAAUGUUCCCGAAUGAAAACACAUGUACGUUUCGUUUAUUUGUUUUAUGUUCUCUUCUUACAAACGGAUAUAUUGUUCCUGGGUAAAAUAUUCUGUCAACGAA